Long non-coding RNA from Papaver somniferum (opium poppy), 810 nucleotides. RefSeq lists it as uncharacterized. The record is from RefSeq and is a predicted model, not a curated record. Lineage: Eukaryota; Viridiplantae; Streptophyta; Magnoliopsida; Ranunculales; Papaveraceae. The transcript has 4 exons.
AUCUCUUCAGUUCCAAAUCCAGUUUUCUAACUUUUUUUUUCCACUCCACUUUUCUCAACUAAACUAGAUUUGGCCGUAACUACAGAGGUGUCGAUGAUCGAUCAGUUCAAGUCAUCAUUCCUCUACAACUAACCCCUAUUCUUCACCUUUUAAUCUCUUCUUAGCGGUAAGUUGGGAUCAUUUUGUGCUUGUACUCAGUGGUGGAUCAUCUUUUGCGUUGGCUCUUUCCCCUGGUGGUAUUGCUUCAUAAAAUGUCCGAUAUUUGGGCUCUCUUUAAAUUGGUAGAACAAGCUGAUGGUUCAGUAAAGGCGAUGUGCAAUGUUUGUGGCCAUAAAUAUUCUUAUGAUAGUCACAGAGGUGGCACUUCAACUUUGUCAAGGCAUAAGUGCCCUAGGCGUGAAAUGCAAGAUGUGGGACAAAUGUUAUCCGUAAAUGGAAAAAUGUCUACUAGUGCUCGCAAAAUAGAUCAGAUGAAAUUCCAGGAGCUUGCAAGAAAUCUUCCAUCAAGUUUAGUGGAAUUGCCAGAAUUUAGGGAGUUGUCACUUGUGUGCCUAUCUGAAUGAUGAUGUUAAAAUCCUCCUCACUGAUGAAAGACUGCAAUUCCAAUUCUAUUUAUAGACUUUUUGGAGGUUCAGUUUUCUUUGUUAAAUAGUUGACUUGAAUGCCAGUGAUGGAGGCUGCUGGAGCUAGCUCUUUUGUUAUGCUUAUUGUUGUAAAAGUAAACCAUUGUAUGUGUAUUUGUUUUAGAGUGGUUUCAAGACUUGCAGUUGCAACUUACCAGUAACCAGUAUUUCAAUUUUAGAAACAUAA